This 3006-nucleotide ribosomal RNA is filed under the name Phycisphaerae bacterium. RNAcentral describes it as "23S ribosomal RNA". It matches the Rfam family "Bacterial large subunit ribosomal RNA". The record is from RNAcentral. Lineage: Bacteria; Pseudomonadati; Planctomycetota; Phycisphaerae.
GGUCAAGUUACUAAGGGUGUAUGGGGGAUGUCUAGGCGUCGUGAGGCGAUGAAGGACGUGGCAGGCUGCGAUAAGCCCGGGGCAGGAGCCGAGCAUCCGUUAAUCCCGGGAUGUCCGAAUGGGGAAACCCGGCAGGACUGGGCAACCAGAUCCUGUCAUCUCUGGCUGAAUGCAUAGGCCAGGCGAAGCGAACGCAGGGAACUGAAACAUCUCAGUACCUGCAGGAAAGGAAAUCAACCGAGACUCCGUAAGUAGCGGCGAGCGAAAGCGGACAAGCCCAAACCAGGGAGCUUGCUCUUUGGUGUUGCGGGCGCCGGUAAGCAGUUACAAAGGCAUCGCAAGCGGAACGGUCUGGAAAGUCCGACCAUAGAAGGUGAUAGUCCUGUAUGCAAAAGCGAGAGCCCUGCAUUACUGCCGGCGUACCAGAGUAGCACGGAGCUCGUGGAACUCUGUGUGAAACCGGGGGGUCCCCCCUCCAAGGCUAAGUACUCCUCGACGACCGAUAGUGAAAAGUAAGGCGACUGAACGAUGAAAAGCACCCCUAUUAGGGGAGUUAAAAGUACCUGAAUCCAUACACCUACAAGCUGUGGAAGGGCUAUGACGCGUUCUUCGGAACGGGUAAUGCCUGACCGCGUGCCUUUUGCAUAAUGAGCCGGCGAGUUACCGUCUGCGGCAAGGUUAAGCCCUUCAGGGGUGUAGCCGUAGCGAAAGCGAGUCUUAAUAGGGCGUCUUAGUCGCAGGUGGUAGACGCGAAACCAGGUGAUCUACCCAUGGCCAGGUUGAAAGGGAUGUAAAAAUCCCUGGAGGACCGAACUCACUAACGUUGAAAAGUUAGGGGAUGAGCUGUGGGGAGGAGUGAAAGUCUAAUCAAACCUGGAGAUAUCUCGUUCUCUUCGAAAUAGCUUUUGGGCUAGCCUUGAGCUACUACUUUACGGGGGUAGAGCUACUGAAUGGGGAUGGGGGACCACCAGUCUACUCACCCCAACCAAACUCCGAAUACCGUAAAGACUAUCUCAGGAGUCAGACUGCGGGGGAUAACCUCCAUGGUCAAGAGGGAAACAACCCAGAUCGCCAGCUAAGGUCCCGAAGUCUUGCUAAGUUCUUAAGGAAGUUGAAUUGCCGUGACAGCCAGGAUGUUGGCUUAGAAGCAGCCACCAUUUAAAAAGUGCGUAAUAGCUUACUGGUCGAGCAGUUUGGCGCCGAUAAUGACCGGGAAUAAGCAAGACACCGAAGCUGCGGAUGGAUUACUUUUUUGCAAAAGAAAGUAAUUCGUGGUAGGAGAGCGUUGCUGACAGCGCCGAAGCCGUACGGUAACGAGCGGUGGAGCGUCAGCAAGUGAUUAUGCCGGCAUGAGUAACGAUAAAACAGGUGAGAAUCCUGUUCGCCGAAAGCCUAAGGUUUCCUGGGGAAGGUACAUCCGCCCAGGGUUAGUCGGUCCCUUAGUCGAGGCCGAAAGGCGUAGACGAUGGACAGCAGGUUAAUAUUCCUGCACUAUGUAUCGAAGGUUUGAACUGUGGGGGUAACGCAGUUUCAGAGGCUGGAAGCUGAUUAGUCGUGGCUAUCCUGCCUGCGGUCCCGUUGGUAGGCAAAUCCGCCAGCAUAAAGGGUCCAAAGGACGGCGAGGGCCGAUUUAAGAUGCCUGAGCAGCCCGAGAGACUGCCAAGAAAAACCUCAAACAGGACGACGUUGCAUAACCGUACUAAAACUGACACAGGUAGGCGAGGAGAAUAUCCUCAGGCGCUCGAGAAAACCGUCCUUAAGGAACUCGGCAAAUUGACCCCGUAAGCUUGCGAUAAGGGGUCCCUCCAGAUAUGCCCGGUAAUUCAUUAUUGAGCAUAUGCUGAGGGCGCAGUGAAGUGGCUCUGGCGACUGUUUACCAAAAACACAGCUCUCUGCUAACACUUACAGUGGAUGUAUAGAGAGUGACGCCUGCUCGGUGCCGGAAGGUUAAGUGGAAGGGUCAACUCCUUCGGGGGUGAAGCUCCUAAAUGAAGCCCCGGUAAACGGCGGCCGUAACUAUGACGGUCCUAAGGUAGCGAAAUUCCUUGUCGGGUAAGUUCCGACGUGCAUGAAUGGCGUAACGACUGGAGCACUGUCUCGAGGACGGACUCGGUGAAAUUGUAAUUGUGGUGAAGAUACCACAUACCCGCGGCAAGACGGAAAGACCCCGUGAACCUUUACUAUAUCCUGGUAUUGAUGCCUGGCAUAUCUUGCGUAGGAUAGGUGGGAGGCUAUGAGGCCCCGAUUUCGGUCGGGGCGGAGCCAACCUUGAAAUACCACCCUUGCUAUGUUAGUCACCUAACUUUGACCCGUGAAACCGGGCAAUGGACAGUGCUAGGUGGGUAGUUUGACUGGGGCGGUCUCCUCCCAAAGAGUAACGGAGGAGCUCAAAGGUACACUCAGCGUGGUUGGCAACCACGUAUAGAGCCUAAAGGUAUAAGUGUGCUUGACUGCGAGACUUAUCAGUCGAGCAGGUGCGAAAGCAGGACUUAGUGAUCCGGUGGUCCCGUGUGGAAGGGCCAUCGCUCAACAGAUAAAAGGUACUCCGGGGAUAACAGGCUUAUGACUCCCGAGCGUUCAUAGCGGCGGAGUCGUUUGGCACCUCGAUGUCGGCUCAUCACAUCCUGGGGCUGAAGGCGGUCCCAAGGGUUCGGCUGUUCGCCGAUUAAAGUGGUACGCGAGCUGGGUUCAGACCGGCGCGAGCCAGGUCGGUCCCUAUCUGCCGUGGGCGCAGGAAUCUUGAGGAGAUGUUUCUCUAGUACGAGAGGAUUGGGAAGCACUGACCUCUGGUGUACCGGUUGUGGCGCUAGCUGCAUUGCCGGGUAGCUAAGUCGGGAAAGGAUAACCGCUGAAAGCAUCUAAGCGGGAAGCCCCCUCCAAGAUGAGGAUUCCAUUCGGCCUUCGGGCCGAUGAAGAGCCCUGAAAGACUAUCAGGUUGAUAGGCCGGGUGUGUAAGCGCAGAAAUGCGUUCAGCUAACCGGUACUAACGCUCGAUUACUUGACCAU